UGGCACAUGCGCAGAUUAUUUGUUUAC
Molecule: non-coding RNA, 27 nt
Filed under: Mus musculus (house mouse)
Lineage: Eukaryota; Metazoa; Chordata; Mammalia; Rodentia; Muridae
Source: RNAcentral